CUUGGUGUGAAUUGCAGAAUCCCGUGAACCAUCGAGUUUUUGAACGCAAGUUGCGCCCGAAGCCUUCUGGCCAGGGCACGUCUGCCUGGGCGUCAC
RNAcentral lists this ribosomal RNA (96 nucleotides) under Gomphrena vermicularis (silverhead). RNAcentral describes it as "Philoxerus vermicularis partial 5.8S ribosomal RNA". It matches the Rfam family "5.8S ribosomal RNA", at positions 61 to 154 of the family's 154-position model. Rfam says of the family: 5.8S ribosomal RNA (5.8S rRNA) is a component of the large subunit of the eukaryotic ribosome. Lineage: Eukaryota; Viridiplantae; Streptophyta; Magnoliopsida; Caryophyllales; Amaranthaceae. The record is from RNAcentral.